CUCGCUAUGCGACCAGCGAUAGCCUAACAAGACAUGCAUCACUGGUAACGGUGGGGUGUGAAGCUCCUGCAACAAUGUAGCCCCUUGAUGUGUGUAUUUGCUGCGAGGUGAAGCACAGAUGCUCGGAGCCGUACCGGCUUGUGGCG
Molecule: non-coding RNA, 146 nt
Organism: Pseudomonas fluorescens HK44
Lineage: Bacteria; Pseudomonadati; Pseudomonadota; Gammaproteobacteria; Pseudomonadales; Pseudomonadaceae
Source: Rfam